UACGUAGGGUGCGAGCGUUAAUCGGAAUUACUGGGCGUAAAGCGUGCGCAGGCGGUGAGCUGUGUCCGAUGUGAAAGCCCCGGGCUUAACCUGGGAAUGGCAUUGGAAACUGGCUCGCUGGAGUGUGGCAGAGGGGGGUGGGAUUCCGCGUGUAGCAGUGAAAUGCGUAGAGAUGCGGAGGAACACCGAUGGCGAAGGCAGCCCCCUGGGCUAACACUGACGCUCAGGCACGAAAGCGUGGGGAGCAAACAGG
RNAcentral lists this ribosomal RNA (253 nucleotides) under uncultured bacterium. Its description in RNAcentral is "partial 16S ribosomal RNA". It matches the Rfam family "Bacterial small subunit ribosomal RNA", at positions 524 to 776 of the family's 1533-position model. The record is from RNAcentral.